This 246-nucleotide long non-coding RNA is filed under the name Erythranthe guttata (spotted monkey flower). RNAcentral's name for it is "long non-coding RNA (EGUT_LNC001754)". Lineage: Eukaryota; Viridiplantae; Streptophyta; Magnoliopsida; Lamiales; Phrymaceae. The record is from RNAcentral.
UUGGCCGGAUCUGCGUCGAUGGUGGCUGAAUCUCGUUGGAGAAGGUUGUAGAUGAACAGAUCUAGACGGAUCUUAGUCGUAUGUGGCACAAUAGAAGUGAUGACCGCCAUAUCUAUCGACUGAAGAAAAUGAAAGGAAGAAGAAGAAGAAAUUAAAAUGAAGAGAAAAAUUAAAACGAAGUGGACAAAUGUGGCGGCGGUGAGAAGAAAGAACUGGGAAGAAAGGAAGGAAGAAGAAGAAGAAAAG